GGGCGUGGCCAAGUGGUAAGGCAACGGGUUUUGGUCCCGCUAUUCGGAGGUUCGAAUCC
RNAcentral lists this transfer RNA (59 nucleotides) under Cyamopsis tetragonoloba (guar). Its description in RNAcentral is "tRNA-His". It matches the Rfam family "tRNA", at positions 3 to 60 of the family's 71-position model. Rfam says of the family: Transfer RNA (tRNA) molecules are approximately 80 nucleotides in length. Their secondary structure includes four short double-helical elements and three loops (D, anti-codon, and T loops). Further hydrogen bonds mediate the characteristic L-shaped molecular structure. tRNAs have two regions of fundamental functional importance: the anti-codon, which is responsible for specific mRNA codon recognition, and the 3' end, to which the tRNAs corresponding amino acid is attached (by aminoacyl-tRNA synthetases). tRNAs cope with the degeneracy of the genetic code in two manners: having more than one tRNA (with a specific anti-codon) for a particular amino acid; and 'wobble' base-pairing, i.e. permitting non-standard base-pairing at the 3rd anti-codon position. The record is from RNAcentral. Lineage: Eukaryota; Viridiplantae; Streptophyta; Magnoliopsida; Fabales; Fabaceae.